GAGUUUGAUCAUGGCUCAGGACGAACGCUGACGGUGUGCUUUAGGCAUGCAAGUCGAACGAGAAAGCCCUUCGGGGUGAGUAAAGUGGCGAACGGGUGAGUAACACGUGGGCAACCUGCCCCUCGCAGGGGGACAACCGGAGGAAACUCCGGCUAAUACCCCGUAAGCUCUACGCGCCGUAUGGCGAGUAGAGGAAAGGUAGCUUCGGCCAUCCGGCGAGGGAUGGGCCCGCGGUGCAUUAGCUAGUUGGUGGGGUAACGGCCCACCAAGGCGACGAUGCGUAGCUGGUCUGAGAGGAUGAUCAGCCACACUGGGACUGAGACACGGCCCAGACUCCUACGGGAGGCAGCAGCCAGGAAUCUUGGGCAAUGGGCGAAAGCCUGACCCAGCAACACCGUGUGGGCGAUGAAGGCCUUCGGGUCGUAAAGCCCUGUUGAUAGGGACGAAGGGCGAAGGGUUAAUAGCCCCUAGCUUGACGGUACCUUUCGAGGAAGCCCCGGCUAACUACGUGCCAGCAGCCGCGGUAAUACGUAGGGGGCGAGCGUUGUCCGGAAUUAUUGGGCGUAAAGAGCGUGUAGGCGGUUCGGUAAGUCUGUCGUGAAAUCCUGGGGCUCAACCCCGGGCGUGCGAUGGAUACUGCCGGGCUAGAGGGUGGUAGAGGCGAGUGGAAUUCCCGGUGUAGCGGUAAAAUGCGCAGAUAUCGGGAGGAACACCAGUAGCGAAGGCGGCUCGCUGGGCCACACCUGACGCUGAGACGCGAAAGCUAGGGGAGCGAACAGGAUUAGAUACCCCAGUAGUCC
RNAcentral lists this ribosomal RNA (800 nucleotides) under uncultured bacterium. RNAcentral's name for it is "bacterial SSU rRNA". It matches the Rfam family "Bacterial small subunit ribosomal RNA", at positions 9 to 796 of the family's 1533-position model. The record is from RNAcentral.